ACCAAAACAAAAAAAAAAAGACCUCCAAAGUCAUCGUAUUUCUACUCGGUUUAUGUCUUGCCGUCCCAAUCACAUGUUUGCCAGAUUAUCACCGAGUUACAUGGCAACGAGGAAUUGAUCCGGCCUCUACUCUUCAGUUUGUGACACUUCGCGUGGGUGAUUACCUCGGUAAGAUUCGUACCCUCAUAAACUCGAUCGAUUAUCGACUGGCUUUUUUCUAUCUUCUGUGGUAUUAAUUAAUCAAUUACUAGCUGCGUGUUUAAUAUUUUAUCCAAGAAUGUGUUUUAACUCCUAAUUUAUCAUCUCACUGUUAAGUUUUUUUCUUUUCUUUUAAUUUGUGUAGAUUUCAUUAACCCAGAGGCACUCCCGAUUGCGGAAGUUGAUCAAACAGAUUAUGCACAUUGUACCUGGACGGAUGUUAUUUAUGAUCUUCCUGACGCUGUUGUCCCUUUUAAGCUUACUGAAUCUCGUACUUACUACUUCGCGUCUGAUCCUUUUUUCUGUUACAAAGGGUUGAAGCUUGAGGCCCAAGUUUAUCCAGCAUAAUGGACAAAAGUCAGCAGGGACGAGGUGGGAAGUCCGAGCUUCGUUGAAGAAAGCUUCAUGAACAAAAACACAAUGGUUGCCUUACUAAGCACCAUUGAUUAUCAACCGUGAUUUGCUUGUUUAUUUGCAGUUAUUGAUCCCUUCCUUCAUGCUGGUGCGAUUUUUUUUUGUUUUUUUUUUUUUGUGGUUGUCUCCAAGCUUCGAUUUGUGUUUCUUUGGUUUGUAUUCGUAAAUGAAACUUUCAAUAAAGUAAUGCUUGAAUGUUUUAAUCUACGAUGAUUUUAGCUAUUAUUGCUAGAGUUCUUAUCCUUCUUUUGCAGAGGUUGAUAUAUUCGUUUUUUAUUUUUUUGGUGGAAAAGGAGAAAAU
RNAcentral lists this long non-coding RNA (913 nucleotides) under Coffea arabica (coffee). Its description in RNAcentral is "long non-coding RNA (CARA_LNC006949)". The record is from RNAcentral. Lineage: Eukaryota; Viridiplantae; Streptophyta; Magnoliopsida; Gentianales; Rubiaceae.